GAGGCGUGAAAAGUGUGGAAU
Molecule: unclassified non-coding RNA, 21 nt
Filed under: Chlamydomonas reinhardtii
Lineage: Eukaryota; Viridiplantae; Chlorophyta; Chlorophyceae; Chlamydomonadales; Chlamydomonadaceae
Description: small RNA Cre_1612
Source: RNAcentral